CGCGCGGCGCUGAGGGGGCCCGGCGGGGUCCGGCGGCCGCCCGAGGGGGCGGCUCGGGCCGCGGCGCUGGAAGGGGGAGCGGGAGCGGCGGCAGCCGCGCCGCUGUGAUGAGUCAUGCGAAGGCAGCCAGACGCGUAGGUUCCUCACAGGAACCCGGAGGAAACCUGAGCGCACAUCGCUCGUUACCUAAUCCCUGCCUCCUUCGGGGCUUCCCUGGAGCUUCCGCCGCCGGCGGCGCCUCCGCGGCUGCCGGAGGGUGCGCGGGGCCGGGGUGAGCCCCGCCGUGAGGGGACGCCGCUGUCCCGCCCGAGCCGCGGCCAGGAGCAGCCUCGGAGACAGAGUUUGACAUCGGAGAGUGUUUGCGUGAGGGGAACUAGCCAUGAAAAAGGAAGAGGUGAGUCACAAGCCCCGGGAGGAUGUAUAUCAAUGCAAGUAUCACAAAGCCGUUUUAACUUCAUUAUCAGUUGUUUUUCACUCAGAAUCCAGAGGCAGUUGGAAUUUCUAAGAAACUACAAUCCAGUAAUAAGCAGUGUUUGAACAGGCCUUGGGGAGGUGACCUGAAUUGUAUGGAGGGCAAAAAGAAGUGCUUUUUAAUUAUUUGUAGCCUUUGGAAGUGACUCCUGUGGACUGACAAACAGAAGACAGCCACGAACAAAAGAGAUCCUGAUUACAGCAAGAAAUGAAAUGAAGAACGUGGAGGUCAUGGCUGUGAAGCAGUUUGGUUCAAGCCUGAGCCACGGUAAAAUAUUCCCACUUACUGAGAGAGAAACAUAAAAUUUUUGUGCUGGAUUAAAUCCUUUGUCCUUCAGACCCAGCCUUUCAUCUCUGUUGUUGCCACUACAGGACAAAGGAGAAGUUCAAAGCAGAGCUUUGACUGUCCUUGACCAAGGACUUUGCGGCAGGUGAGGGCUAAAGCCCCACUCUGGUGUAGCACUGAAAGCUGCAUUUCACUGCCUGUGUCCUGCUCUGAGCCUGUGGUGAGCACAGUGCUGCAUCCAACCUCCUUAAAAUUCAAGUACACACAAAGCCAGAUGACUGAUCCACAUGCCUGUCAUUAAAUGUGCUGUGCUAGAGGCUCUCA
This is a long non-coding RNA of Taeniopygia guttata (zebra finch), 1081 nucleotides long. RefSeq lists it as uncharacterized. Lineage: Eukaryota; Metazoa; Chordata; Aves; Passeriformes; Estrildidae. The record is from RefSeq and is a predicted model, not a curated record.